RNAcentral lists this ribosomal RNA (253 nucleotides) under uncultured bacterium. RNAcentral describes it as "partial 16S ribosomal RNA". It matches the Rfam family "Bacterial small subunit ribosomal RNA", at positions 524 to 776 of the family's 1533-position model. The record is from RNAcentral.
UACGUAGGGGGCAAGCGUUGUCCGGAUUUAUUGGGCGUAAAGAGCGUGUAGGCGGCCGCACAGGUCCGUUGUGAAAACUGGAGGCUUAACCUUCAGACGUCGAUGGAAACCGUGCGGCUAGAGUCCGGAAGAGGAGAGUGGAAUUCCUGGUGUAGCGGUGAAAUGCGUAGAGAUCGGGAGGAACACCAAUGGCAAAGACGGCCAUCUGGAUCAACACUGACGCUGAAGCACGAAAGCGUGGAGAACAAACAGG